AAUACGGAGGAUCCAAGCGUUAUCCGGAAUCAUUGGGUUUAAAGGGUCCGUAGGCGGUUUAGUAAGUCAGUGGUGAAAGCCCAUCGCUCAACGGUGGAACGGCCAUUGAUACUGCUAGACUUGAAUUAUUAGGAAGUAACUAGAAUAUGUAGUGUAGCGGUGAGAUGCUUAGAGAUUACAUGGAAUACCAAUUGCGAAGGCAGGUUACUACUAAUUGAUUGACGCUGAUGGACGAAAGCGUGGGUAGCGAACA
RNAcentral lists this ribosomal RNA (253 nucleotides) under uncultured prokaryote. RNAcentral describes it as "partial 16S ribosomal RNA". It matches the Rfam family "Bacterial small subunit ribosomal RNA", at positions 522 to 774 of the family's 1533-position model. The record is from RNAcentral.